GACGAACGCUGGCGGCGUGCUUAACACAUGCAAGUCGAACGGAAAGGCCCCUUCGGGGGUACUCGAGUGGCGAACGGGUGAGUAACACGUGGGCAAUCUGCCCUGCACUUCGGGAUAAGCCUGGGAAACUGGGUCUAAUACCGGAUAGGACCUUUAGGCGCAUGCCUUUUGGUGGAAAGCUUUUGCGGUGUGGGAUGGGCCCGCGGCCUAUCAGCUUGUUGGUGGGGUGAUGGCCUACCAAGGCGACGACGGGUAGCCGGCCUGAGAGGGUGUCCGGCCACACUGGGACUGAGAUACGGCCCAGACUCCUACGGGAGGCAGCAGUGGGGAAUAUUGCACAAUGGGCGCAAGCCUGAUGCAGCGACGCCGCGUGGGGGAUGACGGCCUUCGGGUUGUAAACCUCUUUCACCAUCGACGAAGGUCCGGGUUUUCUCGGAUUGACGGUAGGUGGAGAAGAAGCACCGGCCAACUAC
This 473-nucleotide ribosomal RNA is filed under the name Mycobacterium intracellulare. Its description in RNAcentral is "bacterial SSU rRNA". It matches the Rfam family "Bacterial small subunit ribosomal RNA", at positions 28 to 504 of the family's 1533-position model. The record is from RNAcentral. Lineage: Bacteria; Bacillati; Actinomycetota; Actinomycetes; Mycobacteriales; Mycobacteriaceae.